UAAAACGUAGGAGGCGAGCGUUAUCCGGAGUUACUGGGCGUAAAGCGCGCGCAGGCGGUGGGGUAAGUGGCUUGUGAAAUCCUUCGGCUAAACCGAGGGGGGUCAGGUCAGACUGCUCGACUGGAGGGAGGUAGAGGAGCGUGGAAUUCGGGGUGGAGCGGUGAAAUGUGUAGAGAUCCCGAGGAACACCAGUGGUGCAAACGGCGCUCUGGGCCUCUUCUGACGCUGAGGCGCGAAAGCGUGGGGAGCGAACGGGAUUAGAGACCCCGGUAGUCCACGCCGUAAACGAUGCCGACUAGCUGCUGACUUGGCGCAAGUCAAGGCGGUGGCGCAGCUAACGCGAUAAGUCGGCCGCCUGGGGAGUACGGUCGCAAGGCUA
RNAcentral lists this ribosomal RNA (379 nucleotides) under uncultured bacterium. RNAcentral's name for it is "bacterial SSU rRNA". It matches the Rfam family "Bacterial small subunit ribosomal RNA", at positions 521 to 896 of the family's 1533-position model. The record is from RNAcentral.